GAUCAAUGGAUCACUUGUCCCUCCCACCUUUGGUCCCACCCUCUCAGAUGAGCCUCUCAGGGUCUCCCCUUUACCCACUUCCCAAAGUGACCAAGGCCGGAGGGCUGGGCCAGCCAGCGACCUGCCGAGAGUUUCCCACACAGCCUCGGCUGCAGGAGCUACCAGGCCCAGGAGAAGAGGGAGACUCAGACUCAACGCUUCCUUUACUCUCUGACUAG
Molecule: long non-coding RNA, 218 nt
Organism: Bos indicus x Bos taurus (hybrid cattle)
Lineage: Eukaryota; Metazoa; Chordata; Mammalia; Artiodactyla; Bovidae
Source: Ensembl